AAAUGUCGGUUAAGAAUAGUGAAAUAAUUGUUCUAAGCGAAACAUAAUAUAUAAAUAAUUUAGAAGAAGAAUAGAUUUUGAAUGAAAAUAUUGGAGAAUUUAGCUCUGUUAAAAUAGGCGUAAGCAUUACUCGAAACACCAAAUCAACGGGACUAGGAACACGAAAUCGAAGAAGUCCAGGAAACUGGGUCACCAAAGAACAAAGGUUGCAAAUAUCUCAACAUACUAAUCAUAUGAUAUGAAGCAAAAUUAAAAAUAUUAUAUUUGAUUACAAACCAGUGAAAAAAAGUCAGCACCUGCAAUUUAAGUAAGAAAAAAUUA
Long non-coding RNA from Pieris brassicae (large cabbage white), 321 nucleotides. RefSeq lists it as uncharacterized. The record is from RefSeq and is a predicted model, not a curated record. The transcript has 2 exons. NCBI's taxonomy places the organism in Eukaryota, Metazoa, Arthropoda, Insecta, Lepidoptera, Pieridae.